CGAAGAACGCCCACUAGAAGGAAACCGAGAAUAACCCCACCUCGAAAGGAGAUGAACACACCGCCGGCAGCACACCCACUAAGCGCUGCAGGACUUCAAAAGAUACUGGUCUUCUAAUAUCCACCGAUUUCUUACCUCUCCUAAAGCCCCGUAAGGCUUGACAAAUAAGGAAAUGUUUUGAAACAUCCUCCCAACCAUUCAGCUUGAACAGAAAUGCCAAUGCCGCCAUAUUCCUGUGAGUCACCCUGGGUACCGUAACGGCUUAGCCAAGGCAACAUCGGCGCAACCUUCACCGGGGUUACCCCCAGUGGAAGUGGAUGGUGCCACUGCUCCGCCGGUAGAUGCAGACUUUGCCCACUUGAAGCACCUGUUGAGGCUGAGGGCCCCCCCGCUGCCUGAAAAUUCGUGCUUAAACUUACACGAGGCACCCCACUUGCAUUGUCCUUCAUUAAACGUCCAACAGAACCCUUUCUUUUGACUGGCCGAUGAAGAGGAGGUUGAUCCCACACCAGCCCCACCCUGAAAGGGCGCAGCUUUCUGAGCCAUCAUCAGUUUCUUCCAUAGAGGUAGGUCCAUCU
Molecule: non-coding RNA, 578 nt
Organism: Pelobates cultripes (western spadefoot toad)
Lineage: Eukaryota; Metazoa; Chordata; Amphibia; Anura; Pelobatidae
Source: the annotation of a GenBank genome assembly